GAUGAACGCUGGCGGCGUGCCUAAUACAUGCAAGUCGAGCGAACAGACGAGGAGCUUGCUCCUCUGACGUUAGCGGCGGACGGGUGAGUAACACGUGGAUAACCUACCUAUAAGACUGGGAUAACUUCGGGAAACCGGAGCUAAUACCGGAUAAUAUAUUGAACCGCAUGGUUCAAUAGUGAAAGACGGUUUUGCUGUCACUUAUAGAUGGAUCCGCGCGGCAUUAGCUAGUUGGUAAGGUAACGGCUUACCAAGGCGACGAUGCGUAGCCGACCGGAGAGGGUGAUCGGCCACACUGGAACUGAGACACGGUCCAGACUCCUACGGGAGGCAGCAGUAGGGAAUCUUCCGCAAUGGGCGAAAGCCUGACGGAGCAACGCCGCGUGAGUGAUGAAGGUCUUCGGAUCGUAAAACUCUGUUAUUAGGGAAGAACAAAUGUGUAAGUAACUAUGCACGUCUUGACGGUACCUAAUCAGAAAGCCACGGCUAACUACGUG
RNAcentral lists this ribosomal RNA (497 nucleotides) under uncultured bacterium. Its description in RNAcentral is "partial 16S ribosomal RNA". It matches the Rfam family "Bacterial small subunit ribosomal RNA", at positions 28 to 507 of the family's 1533-position model. The record is from RNAcentral.